GGGUUGUGAGGUUAAGCGACUAAGCGUACACGGUGGAUGCCCUGGCAGUCAGAGGCGAUGAAGGACGUGCUAAUCUGCGAUAAGCGUCGGUAAGGUGAUAUGAACCGUUAUAACCGGCGAUUUCCGAAUGGGGAAACCCAGUGUGAUUCGUCACACUAUCAUUAACUGAAUCCAUAGGUUAAUGAGGCGAACCGGGGGAACUGAAACAUCUAAGUACCCCGAGGAAAAGAAAUCAACCGAGAUUCCCCCAGUAGCGGCGAGCGAACGGGGAGCAGCCCAGAGCCUGAAUCAGUGUGUGUGUUAGUGGAAGCGUCUGGAAAGGCGUGCGAUACAGGGUGACAGCCCCGUACACAAAAAUGCACAUGCUGUGAGCUCGAUGAGUAGGGCGGGACACGUGGUAUCCUGUCUGAAUAUGGGGGGACCAUCCUCCAAGGCUAAAUACUCCUGACUGACCGAUAGUGAACCAGUACCGUGAGGGAAAGGCGAAAAGAACCCCGGCGAGGGGAGUGAAAAAGAACCUGAAACCGUGUACGUACAAGCAGUGGGAGCACGCUUAGGCGUGUGACUGCGUACCUUUUGUAUAAUGGGUCAGCGACUUAUAUUCUGUAGCAAGGUUAACCGAAUAGGGGAGCCGAAGGGAAACCGAGUCUUAACUGGGCGUUAAGUUGCAGGGUAUAGACCCGAAACCCGGUGAUCUAGCCAUGGGCAGGUUGAAGGUUGGGUAACACUAACUGGAGGACCGAACCGACUAAUGUUGAAAAAUUAGCGGAUGACUUGUGGCUGGGGGUGAAAGGCCAAUCAAACCGGGAGAUAGCUGGUUCUCCCCGAAAGCUAUUUAGGUAGCGCCUCGUGAAUUCAUCUCCGGGGGUAGAGCACUGUUUCGGCAAGGGGGUCAUCCCGACUUACCAACCCGAUGCAAACUGCGAAUACCGGAGAAUGUUAUCACGGGAGACACACGGCGGGUGCUAACGUCCGUCGUGAAGAGGGAAACAACCCAGACCGCCAGCUAAGGUCCCAAAGUCAUGGUUAAGUGGGAAACGAUGUGGGAAGGCCCAGACAGCCAGGAUGUUGGCUUAGAAGCAGCCAUCAUUUAAAGAAAGCGUAAUAGCUCACUGGUCGAGUCGGCCUGCGCGGAAGAUGUAACGGGGCUAAACCAUGCACCGAAGCUGCGGCAGCGACGCUUAUGCGUUGUUGGGUAGGGGAGCGUUCUGUAAGCCUGCGAAGGUGUGCUGUGAGGCAUGCUGGAGGUAUCAGAAGUGCGAAUGCUGACAUAAGUAACGAUAAAGCGGGUGAAAAGCCCGCUCGCCGGAAGACCAAGGGUUCCUGUCCAACGUUAAUCGGGGCAGGGUGAGUCGACCCCUAAGGCGAGGCCGAAAGGCGUAGUCGAUGGGAAACAGGUUAAUAUUCCUGUACUUGGUGUUACUGCGAAGGGGGGACGGAGAAGGCUAUGUUGGCCGGGCGACGGUUGUCCCGGUUUAAGCGUGUAGGCUGGUUUUCCAGGCAAAUCCGGAAAAUCAAGGCUGAGGCGUGAUGACGAGGCACUACGGUGCUGAAGCAACAAAUGCCCUGCUUCCAGGAAAAGCCUCUAAGCAUCAGGUAACAUCAAAUCGUACCCCAAACCGACACAGGUGGUCAGGUAGAGAAUACCAAGGCGCUUGAGAGAACUCGGGUGAAGGAACUAGGCAAAAUGGUGCCGUAACUUCGGGAGAAGGCACGCUGAUAUGUAGGUGAAGUCCCUCGCGGAUGGAGCUGAAAUCAGUCGAAGAUACCAGCUGGCUGCAACUGUUUAUUAAAAACACAGCACUGUGCAAACACGAAAGUGGACGUAUACGGUGUGACGCCUGCCCGGUGCCGGAAGGUUAAUUGAUGGGGUUAGCGCAAGCGAAGCUCUUGAUCGAAGCCCCGGUAAACGGCGGCCGUAACUAUAACGGUCCUAAGGUAGCGAAAUUCCUUGUCGGGUAAGUUCCGACCUGCACGAAUGGCGUAAUGAUGGCCAGGCUGUCUCCACCCGAGACUCAGUGAAAUUGAACUCGCUGUGAAGAUGCAGUGUACCCGCGGCAAGACGGAAAGACCCCGUGAACCUUUACUAUAGCUUGACACUGAACAUUGAGCCUUGAUGUGUAGGAUAGGUGGGAGGCUUUGAAGUGUGGACGCCAGUCUGCAUGGAGCCGACCUUGAAAUACCACCCUUUAAUGUUUGAUGUUCUAACGUUGACCCGUAAUCCGGGUUGCGGACAGUGUCUGGUGGGUAGUUUGACUGGGGCGGUCUCCUCCUAAAGAGUAACGGAGGAGCACGAAGGUUGGCUAAUCCUGGUCGGACAUCAGGAGGUUAGUGCAAUGGCAUAAGCCAGCUUGACUGCGAGCGUGACGGCGCGAGCAGGUGCGAAAGCAGGUCAUAGUGAUCCGGUGGUUCUGAAUGGAAGGGCCAUCGCUCAACGGAUAAAAGGUACUCCGGGGAUAACAGGCUGAUACCGCCCAAGAGUUCAUAUCGACGGCGGUGUUUGGCACCUCGAUGUCGGCUCAUCACAUCCUGGGGCUGAAGUAGGUCCCAAGGGUAUGGCUGUUCGCCAUUUAAAGUGGUACGCGAGCUGGGUUUAGAACGUCGUGAGACAGUUCGGUCCCUAUCUGCCGUGGGCGCUGGAGAAUUGAGGGGGGCUGCUCCUAGUACGAGAGGACCGGAGUGGACGCAUCACUGGUGUUCGGGUUGUCAUGCCAAUGGCACUGCCCGGUAGCUAAAUGCGGAAGAGAUAAGUGCUGAAAGCAUCUAAGCACGAAACUUGCCCCGAGAUGAGUUCUCCCUGACUCCUUGAGAGUCCUGAAGGAACGUUGAAGACGACGACGUUGAUAGGCCGGGUGUGUAAGCGCAGCGAUGCGUUGAGCUAACCGGUACUAAUGAACCGUGAGGCUUAACCUUACAACGCCGAAGGUGUUU
This 2931-nucleotide ribosomal RNA is filed under the name Escherichia coli. Its description in RNAcentral is "23S ribosomal RNA". It matches the Rfam family "Bacterial large subunit ribosomal RNA". Lineage: Bacteria; Pseudomonadati; Pseudomonadota; Gammaproteobacteria; Enterobacterales; Enterobacteriaceae. The record is from RNAcentral.